Molecule: transfer RNA, 71 nt
Filed under: Candidatus Yanofskyibacteriota bacterium
Lineage: Bacteria; Candidatus Yanofskyibacteriota
Description: tRNA-Cys
Rfam family: tRNA
About the family: Transfer RNA (tRNA) molecules are approximately 80 nucleotides in length.
Source: RNAcentral
GGCGCCAUGGCCGAGUGGUCAGGCAGAGGUCUGCAAAACCUCGUACGGCAGUUCGAUUCUGCCUGGCGCCU